GAGAAGGAAAUUGCUGAUUCAGAUUCAGAAGAUGAUAGGUCCAGUCUUCUGGAUUGUUCUUCUGAGUCCAGCGGAGACAGCAUUUCCAGUGGUUCAAGUGAAAUGGAACCACCUAUGAUGAUAAGUGUUACAGUGAGACCAAAAUUACCACGAGUGGAAGAAACUGAGAAACCACCAGAUUCUCCAGAGCCACUAGAUAGCUCGGAUAGAUCACUUGACUCUUCACCAAGAUAUUAUUAUUUGGAAGAUUCACAUGAGUACAAGAGUCAAG
Long non-coding RNA from Xenopus tropicalis (tropical clawed frog), 271 nucleotides. RefSeq lists it as uncharacterized. The transcript is spliced from 3 exons. The record is from RefSeq and is a predicted model, not a curated record. NCBI's taxonomy places the organism in Eukaryota, Metazoa, Chordata, Amphibia, Anura, Pipidae.